UAACCAUGUUGAGGACAUCUCUGGACAAGAUCCUUGAAUCGCUCUUAUGCCUCAUAAAGAGGCUCAAAAUCUAACUGUCUGAAUUGGCCGAUCCCACUCCUCAACUGAGUUG
This is a non-coding RNA of Morus notabilis, 112 nucleotides long. Lineage: Eukaryota; Viridiplantae; Streptophyta; Magnoliopsida; Rosales; Moraceae. The record is from Rfam.